This 93-nucleotide transfer RNA is filed under the name Rhodovibrio salinarum. RNAcentral's name for it is "tRNA-Ser". It matches the Rfam family "tRNA". Rfam says of the family: Transfer RNA (tRNA) molecules are approximately 80 nucleotides in length. Their secondary structure includes four short double-helical elements and three loops (D, anti-codon, and T loops). RNAcentral also lists the same sequence under 2 other names. Lineage: Bacteria; Pseudomonadati; Pseudomonadota; Alphaproteobacteria; Rhodospirillales; Rhodovibrionaceae. The record is from RNAcentral.
GGAGGGGUGGCCGAGCGGUCGAAGGCGCACGCCUGGAAAGCGUGUGUACGGGUAUUCCCCGUACCGAGGGUUCGAAUCCCUCCCCCUCCGCCA